AGAGUUUGAUCCUGGCUCAGAUUGAACGCUGGCGGCAUGCUUUACACAUGCAAGUCGAACGGCAGCAUAGAGAGCUUGCUCUCUGAUGGCGAGUGGCGAACGGGUGAGUAAUACAUCGGAACGUGUCCGUUUGUGGGGGACAACCACCCGAAAGGGUGGCUAAUACCGCAUAAGACCUGAGGGUGAAAGCCGGGGACCGCAAGGCCUGGCGCGAACGGAGCGGCCGAUGACUGAUUAGCUGGUUGGCGGGGUAAAGGCCCACCAAGGCGACGAUCAGUAGCUGGUCUGAGAGGACGACCAGCCACACUGGAACUGAGACACGGUCCAGACUCCUACGGGAGGCAGCAGUGGGGAAUUUUGGACAAUGGGGGCAACCCUGAUCCAGCCAUGCCGCGUGCGGGAAGAAGGCCUUCGGGUUGUAAACCGCUUUUGUCAGGGACGAAAAGGUGCGGGUUAAGAGCUAGCACUGAUGACGGUACCUGAAGAAUAAGCACCGGCUAACUACGUGCCAGCAGCCGCGGUAAUACGUAGGGUGCGAGCGUUAAUCGGAAUUACUGGGCGUAAAGCGUGCGCAGGCGGUUGGGUAAGACAGAUGUGAAAUCCCCGGGCUUAACCUGGGAACUGCAUUUGUGACUGUCCGACUGGAGUAUGUCAGAGGGGGGUGGAAUUCCAAGUGUAGCAGUGAAAUGCGUAGAUAUUUGGAAGAACACCGAUGGCGAAGGCAGCCCCCUGGGGCAAAACUGACGCUCAUGCACGAAAGCGUGGGGAGCAAACAGGAUUAGAUACCCUGGUAGUCCACGCCCUAAACGAUGUCUACUGGUUGUUGGAGGGUAAAACCUUCAGUAACGAAGCUAACGCGUGAAGUAGACCGCCUGGGGAGUACGGUCGCAAGAUUAAAACUCAAAGGAAUUGACGGGGACCCGCACAAGCGGUGGAUGAUGUGGAUUAAUUCGAUGCAACGCGAAAAACCUUACCUAGCCUUGACAUGUCAGGAAUGCUCCGGAGAUGGGGCAGUGCCCGCAAGGGAACCUGAGCACAGGUGCUGCAUGGCUGUCGUCAGCUCGUGUCGUGAGAU
Molecule: ribosomal RNA, 1075 nt
Filed under: human gut metagenome
Description: bacterial SSU rRNA
Rfam family: Bacterial small subunit ribosomal RNA
Source: RNAcentral